This 498-nucleotide ribosomal RNA is filed under the name uncultured bacterium. Its description in RNAcentral is "partial 16S ribosomal RNA". It matches the Rfam family "Bacterial small subunit ribosomal RNA", at positions 28 to 507 of the family's 1533-position model. The record is from RNAcentral.
GACGAACGCUGGCGGCGUGCCUAAUACAUGCAAGUCGAACGAGAGCGACCGGUGCUUGCACUGGUCAAUCUAGUGGCGAACGGGUGAGUAACACGUGGGUAACCUGCCCAUCAGAGGGGGAUAACAUCCGGAAACGGAUGCUAAAACCGCAUAGGUCUUCGAGCCGCAUGGCUUGAAGAGGAAAAGAGGCGCAAGCUUCUGCUGAUGGAUGGACCCGCGGUGCAUUAGCUAGUUGGUGAGGUAACGGCUCACCAAGGCCGUGAUGCAUAGCCGACCUGAGAGGGUGAUCGGCCACAUUGGGACUGAGACACGGCCCAAACUCCUACGGGAGGCAGCAGUAGGGAAUCUUCCGCAAUGGACGCAAGUCUGACGGAGCAACGCCGCGUGAGUGAAGAAGGUUUUCGGAUCGUAAAACUCUGUUGCUAGGGAAGAACAAGUGCUAGAGUAACUGUUAGCGCCUUGACGGUAUCUAACCAGAAAGCCACGGCUAACUACGUG